RNAcentral lists this transfer RNA (87 nucleotides) under Flavihumibacter cheonanensis. RNAcentral describes it as "tRNA-Phe". It matches the Rfam family "tRNA". From Rfam's summary of the family: Transfer RNA (tRNA) molecules are approximately 80 nucleotides in length. Their secondary structure includes four short double-helical elements and three loops (D, anti-codon, and T loops). RNAcentral also lists the same sequence under 1 other name. Lineage: Bacteria; Pseudomonadati; Bacteroidota; Chitinophagia; Chitinophagales; Chitinophagaceae. The record is from RNAcentral.
CGGGGUGGCAGAGUGGCUUAAUGCGCCCGAUUGAAAACCGGGUAUGCUCUUCACGGGGUAUCGUGGGUUCGAAUCCCACCCCCGCCG